This is an RNA transcript of Dreissena polymorpha, 850 nucleotides long. It is a transcript of the gene named protein white-like, with no coding region annotated. The transcript has 6 exons. NCBI's taxonomy places the organism in Eukaryota, Metazoa, Mollusca, Bivalvia, Myida, Dreissenidae. The record is from RefSeq and is a predicted model, not a curated record.
UGUAUCUCGAAAACAUAAAGCGACCUACGUUUUACGAUGUCUCGGCUUUCAUUAGCUACAGGGUUCACCUUUGAACGCUUUUUGAACUAUUGACGAAUCCAACUGUCAUACGAAAUGGCAUUCCCGAAAAACUUGAAUCGUGUAAACUACUUUUUAAUUUGGGGUUAGUAAACACUCACAAUUGGUGGCAGUGAAAAUGUAUAUGCGCUCUUUUAGCUUUACGACCCGCAAAGUGUAAAUAAAACUGUUAAAAUGUUAAGCAUAAAUAAGAUAAAAGUCUGAUUGCAAUGAAUCAAGAAUCUAUCAAAAAGGUAUGCAGCCUUCAAUGUUCACGAUUAUUCAGUUUCUGACAAAUCCGCCAUUGUUGUUCUGUUACGAGCCCACUUCCGGUCUGGACUCGUUCAUGGCAGAGAACAUAGUGCAGAUGCUUCAGCAGAUGGCAAAGCGCGGCAAGACUGUCAUAUGCACCAUCCACCAACCCAGCUCCGAGGUGUUCGCACUCUUCGAUCAUGUGAUUGUCAUGGCAGAGGGACGAGUGGCGUUCAUGGGAGAAGCAGAACAGGCUCUGAACUUCUACAAGGGAGACACCACAAGUAAGAACAACAAGGAAAGUUGAAGAAAUGAAUAUUGGUGUGGACCUGAGGUUGGCCUUAACAUAUAAUGGCAUUGACCUUGAGAUAAUCGUCUUUGAGCGACCGUUUAAUCAAGCUUUGAUGCAGGUAAAGCAGGAUCGGGUUCCCGUGUCCCAUGAACUUUAACCCCGCCGACUUCUACAUCCACACCAUGGCUGUGCGGCCCGGCAAGGAGACCGAGUGUAAAGCGCAAAUCGAGCAAAUCUGCGAUAAAUUCG